RNAcentral lists this transfer RNA (82 nucleotides) under Caryophanon tenue. It matches the Rfam family "tRNA". Rfam says of the family: Transfer RNA (tRNA) molecules are approximately 80 nucleotides in length. Their secondary structure includes four short double-helical elements and three loops (D, anti-codon, and T loops). Further hydrogen bonds mediate the characteristic L-shaped molecular structure. tRNAs have two regions of fundamental functional importance: the anti-codon, which is responsible for specific mRNA codon recognition, and the 3' end, to which the tRNAs corresponding amino acid is attached (by aminoacyl-tRNA synthetases). tRNAs cope with the degeneracy of the genetic code in two manners: having more than one tRNA (with a specific anti-codon) for a particular amino acid; and 'wobble' base-pairing, i.e. permitting non-standard base-pairing at the 3rd anti-codon position. Lineage: Bacteria; Bacillati; Bacillota; Bacilli; Caryophanales; Caryophanaceae. The record is from Rfam by way of RNAcentral.
GCCGGUGUGGCGGAAUUGGCAGACGCGUCGGACUCAAAAUCCGAUUCUCUCGAGAGUGCCGGUUCGAACCCGGCCACCGGUA